GUGAAUAGAUGAAAAACAUCUGCUUAAGUAUGUCUUUUGUGCCUUGCCUAGGAUAACCAUGGUUGGAAUGACAGGUAUUGGCCAUAAAGAUGAACAAAAAUAGUGUAGAACAGAAAGGUAACAGAACAUAGAGAACACAGAGAAAGCAAUGUGAGUAUGGAUGGGGGUUGUAAUGGUUACCAGUGAGGGUCUCAAAGUAACUGCUGUCAGCCCAGUUCAGGGUCUCUGUUUGUGGGGCCUGGGAUUACUGAUCGAUGUGUGGGUGCUCUUGUACUCUCGGAAAUCAACUCAACAGGGGGGGGGGGAUUAGGGAUUCUGUUUACUGUGCAUGGGGGCAUGAUCCCUCCCAGCUCCCCUGAACCCUCAUUCCUCCACUCUCAAGAGCCCUUAAUCCUCAUGACACCCCCCCCUAAGAAUCCUCAACUGGUUAUGUGAACCUCAGUGGCUCGUAGGGGCACCAGCUGGAAUCAGAGUGGCGAGGACAUCGCCGGAAGAGAGACAUUAUACUCUAUCUUAAUAUUUGUGCCAGGGUUCCCACACCUUAUAAAACAAUGGGAGGGAGUUAUGUAGUGUUGCUGUUAGUUGGUCCAUUAAGCGGUGGUCCUCUAUCUUGGCUCUAAUCUCUCCUAUUGACGGGAGGGGGAUUGCAACCAGCGAGCCACCAGGACUCUCCUCGCAGCCAAAGUUAUUUUAUUACAUAGUUUCUGCUAUUGUUGGGUCAUAUCUUCUUGGGGUUUGGAAAGUAAAAACUGCCAGGGGUCCAGCUCAAAUGGCCUCUGAAUAAAGAUUGGGACAGGAGUCUAGCUAACAUGCUCCUUCGGGAGCUUGUGGCAUAGGCAUGUGUGCCAAAGGUCUAAAUGGAUAUAUAUUUUCGGGAAGGAUGAAAGGAGGCUCUGUGAGUGACAGCCAGGAGAGUUGUGGCUUCAGCUGCUAAAAGUAAUUAACCUCAUAAUCAGCAAAGCAUUGAGCAGCAAGACUGCAUGGUCAUUAUCUAUGCACCAAAACAACUUCAUUAAACUGAAGUGAUGUUGAUGCUUACACUUAACCUUGAAAGCAUUUUAAAGUUAUCUUUCUAUUUUUGUGAGGAAUAGUUUCUUCUUUGGAAUUUUCUGAAGAGCAACAAAACAUUCACACUAAUCCACAAGACCACUGUGUGCUCUAUAUGAAAUAAAACUCCCUGAGAGAUACAGCAAGUGACUAUGCAAAGAAUUAUUUCAGUAGGACGUUUCUGAAAAAUGACCAACAUGGUUAAUUUCCUGAGAGCAGCCAGGGGUACAAAUCAUUCUAAAUUAAUUCACUCAGAAUCUUUUCUUAUUGAAUCAGAUUAGGAAUACGGUGUCCACUCUCAAAGGAAGACAUUCAAAAAAGCCUGCUAUGCAUUUCCAUUUGAAGAGCUGGAAGAUUUGGUGAAGUCAGUAAGAUGAAGGAAAAAAAAGCCUAAAGAAUUAGAAAAUGUCAUGUUUCACAGCGGCUUAAAAUAUAUCCAGGCAUUUCCAAUCCAUUCAGAUUUGACAGGACUUUUUCUUUGCUGGAAAAAUACAGAGAGCAAGGUGCUCCAUGCAAAUAACGUACAGUGUUUUCAUUAUUUUUUCUACU
This 1596-nucleotide long non-coding RNA is filed under the name Pelobates cultripes (western spadefoot toad). The record is from RNAcentral. Lineage: Eukaryota; Metazoa; Chordata; Amphibia; Anura; Pelobatidae.